RNAcentral lists this non-coding RNA (830 nucleotides) under Anterhynchium (Dirhynchium) sp. QHZ-2020. The record is from RNAcentral. Lineage: Eukaryota; Metazoa; Arthropoda; Insecta; Hymenoptera; Vespidae.
UUAAAUUGAUAAAAAGUUGAAAUUAAAAUUUUUAAAAAUUUAAUUUUUGUUUAAGAAUUAAUUAUAAAAUGAUAAUAAUAAAUAAAUUUUUAUUUUUAAAUAAUUAGAAUAAUUUAAUAUUUAUAUUUAAAAAAUUAAUGUGAAUUAGAUUUAGAUAUUUUUGUUAAUAAUUGGUAAAUUUAGUGCCAGCCACAGCGGUUAAACUAAAAUUAAAAAUUAAUUUAUUCAAUAAAUAAUAUAAUAGAUUGAUUUAUAGAUUAAAUAAUAUUUAUAUAAAUAAUUAUUUAAUUAAUGUAUAAUAAAUAAAUUUUUAAUGGUGAAAUAUAAAAAAUUUUAAAUUAAUAAUAAUUAUAGAAAUUAACUUAAAUAAAUUAUGUAGUAAACUAGGAUUAGAUACCCUAUUAUAAUAAAAAAUAAUAUAUAAGAUAUUAAAGUAUUAAAUGGUAGAUCAUUAAAUUUAUAAGAUUUGGCGGUAUUUCAUUCAAUUUAGGGGAACUUGUUGAGUAAUUGAUGAUCCACGAUAAGAUUUACUUAAUUAAAAAUUUAUGUAUUGCUGUUUUUAGAUAUAUUAAAAAAAUAUAAUUGAAAUUUAAAUUUAUAAAAUAAUUCAAGUCAAAAUAUAGUUUAAUUAAGAUUUAAUGAGUUACAAUAAUUUUAUUUAUAUGGAUUAAAAAAUUUAAUUUUUUUAUGAAAGUGGACUUAAAAGUAAAAUUAAUAAAUUUAUUUAUUUGAAAAUUGUUUAUGAUUUAUGUACAAAUCGCCCGUCACUUCCAAUAAAAUGGAAUAAGUCGUAACAAAGUUUAGGUAUCGGAAGGUGCUUAUAGAAAAUA